RNAcentral lists this ribosomal RNA (497 nucleotides) under uncultured bacterium. Its description in RNAcentral is "partial 16S ribosomal RNA". It matches the Rfam family "Bacterial small subunit ribosomal RNA", at positions 28 to 507 of the family's 1533-position model. The record is from RNAcentral.
GACGAACGCUGGCGGCGUGCCUAAUACAUGCAAGUUGAGCGCUGAAGGUUGGUACUUGUACCAACUGGAUGAGCAGCGAACGGGUGAGUAACGCGUGGGGAAUCUGCCUUUGAGCGGGGGACAACAUUUGGAAACGAAUGCUAAUACCGCAUAAAAACUUUAAACACAAGUUUUAAGUUUGAAAGAUGCAAUUGCAUCACUCAAAGAUGAUCCCGCGUUGAAUUAGCUAGUUGGUGAGGUAAAGGCUCACCAAGGCGAUGAUACAUAGCCGACCUGAGAGGGUGAUCGGCCACAUUGGGACUGAGACACGGCCCAAACUCCUACGGGAGGCAGCAGUAGGGAAUCUUCGGCAAUGGACGAAAGUCUGACCGAGCAACGCCGCGUGAGUGAAGAAGGUUUUCGGAUCGUAAAACUCUGUUGGUAGAGAAGAACGUUGGUGAGAGUGGAAAGCUCAUCAAGUGACGGUAACUACCCAGAAAGGGACGGCUAACUACGUG